RNAcentral lists this transfer RNA (60 nucleotides) under Loxodonta africana (African savanna elephant). The record is from Rfam by way of RNAcentral. Lineage: Eukaryota; Metazoa; Chordata; Mammalia; Proboscidea; Elephantidae.
GUGGCAUAAGUGGUUGAGUGUUUGGCUGCUAACUAAAAGGUUAGUGGUUCAUAUCCACUC